RNAcentral lists this ribosomal RNA (467 nucleotides) under uncultured bacterium. RNAcentral's name for it is "partial 16S ribosomal RNA". It matches the Rfam family "Bacterial small subunit ribosomal RNA", at positions 28 to 507 of the family's 1533-position model. The record is from RNAcentral.
GAUGAACGCUGGCGGCGUGCUUAACACAUGCAAGUCGAACGAUGAUGCCCAGCUUGCUGGGUGGAUUAGUGGCGAACGGGUGAGUAACACGUGAGUAACAUGCCCUUGACUCUGGGAUAAGCCUGGGAAACUGGGUCUAAUACCGGAUACGACCAUCUGGCGCAUGUCAUGGUGGUGGAAAGCUUUUGUGGUUUUGGAUGGACUCGCGGCCUAUCAGCUUGUUGGUGGGGUAAUGGCCUACCAAGGCGACGACGGGUAGCCGGCCUGAGAGGGUGACCGGCCACACUGGGACUGAGACACGGCCCAGACUCCUACGGGAGGCAGCAGUGGGGAAUAUUGCACAAUGGGCGCAAGCCUGAUGCAGCGACGCCGCGUGCGGGAUGACGGCCUUCGGGUUGUAAACCUCUUUCAGUAGGGAAGAAGCGAAAGUGACGGUACCUGCAGAAGAAGCGCCGGCUAACUACGUG